This 691-nucleotide long non-coding RNA is filed under the name Brassica rapa (field mustard). Its description in RNAcentral is "long non-coding RNA (BRAP_LNC004336)". The record is from RNAcentral. Lineage: Eukaryota; Viridiplantae; Streptophyta; Magnoliopsida; Brassicales; Brassicaceae.
GCGAUCGAAGCUCCACUACUAGAAAUAUAAGUACUGGUAGCAGUUCACGGUAACACGAAUUCACCAACUGCUACUAAAAGUGUCAAAAUUCAGAUCCUAAUUCUAUCGUAGCAUUAAAUCAACGCUAUACAGGACUUUCAUUAAGCGGGAAAUCAAAAACCCAUUUUAGAACCAAUUUUGUUUUGGUAACACUUUAAACCGCCAAUACUUACCGAAAAAUUAGUUUUUACACGAAAACUUUUUUUUUUUUUUUUGGGGAAAUUUAUAUUUUUGCCAAGUCCUUUUUCAUCUCAACAAAAAAAUUUCACUCAUUCAUAUCUAGAAAAAAAGAGUUUGAUUCUUUUACACUCGAUAUAUUGAUCUCAAACCCAGACUCAGGCACAACUCCAGCGAAGAAGCAUCUCCUCUAUUACCCCUAUAUGUUUAGAAAAAAUCUCUAGAGGACCCAAUCUAUUUUUUUAUAAAUUUAUUUUCUUUUAAUUCAUAAAUUAAGACAUUUACUGAUUUACCCUUAUGCUUUCUAACCUAAUCUAAUAAACACAACCGCCAACAAUUUUUUUUCUUUCAUUUUCUUCUUUCUUCUCUUCUUUUCUUCCUUCUUCUCUUUCUUUUCUCUGCAAAUUUUCCCGUUCUUCAUCUCUUCUUUAAUCUUCUUUCUCUUUUUCUCUACAUAAUAUCAAAUCGGAUCUGC